GCAGUCGAACGGUGACGGCCGAGCUUGCUUGGUCUGAUCAGUGGCGAACGGGUGAGUAACACGUGAGUAACCUGCCCCAGACUCUGGGAUAACCCCGGGAAACCGGAGCUAAUACCGGAUAUGACACCAAUCCGCAUGGGUAUGGUGUGGAAAGUUUUUCGGUCUGGGAUGGACUCGCGGCCUAUCAGCUUGUUGGUGAGGUAGUGGCUCACCAAGGCGACGACGGGUAGCCGGCCUGAGAGGGCGACCGGCCACACUGGGACUGAGACACGGCCCAGACUCCUACGGGAGGCAGCAGUGGGGAAUAUUGCACAAUGGGCGAAAGCCUGAUGCAGCGACGCCGCGUGAGGGAUGACGGCCUUCGGGUUGUAAACCUCUUUCAGCAGGGAAGAAGCGCAAGUGACGGUACCUGCAGAAGAAGCACCGGCUAACUACGUGCCAGCAGCCGCGGUAAUACGUAGGGUGCGAGCGUUGUCCGGAAUUAUUGGGCGUAAAGAGCUUGUAGGUGGUUUGUCGCGUCUGCUGUGAAAAUCCGGGGCUCAACCUCGGACUUGCAGUGGGUACGGGCAGACUAGAGUGUGGUAGGGGAGACUGGAAUUCCUGGUGUAG
Molecule: ribosomal RNA, 609 nt
Filed under: bacterium 10-L049659-122-016-B02
Lineage: Bacteria
Description: bacterial SSU rRNA
Rfam family: Bacterial small subunit ribosomal RNA
Source: RNAcentral